UUAUUUUGGUGGCUGAAAUUAGGCGGUAAAUUGUAAAUUUAUUUAUGACUGUGGUCCCUUGCGAAACUA
RNAcentral lists this transfer RNA (69 nucleotides) under Notodoris gardineri. RNAcentral describes it as "tRNA-Tyr". Lineage: Eukaryota; Metazoa; Mollusca; Gastropoda; Nudibranchia; Polyceridae. The record is from RNAcentral.